ACUAUUUUGACAGAAAAAUGUGAUGAUUUUAGAAAUCAUUUAUAUAUAAUUUAAUUAUAUAGGUAGUA
RNAcentral lists this transfer RNA (68 nucleotides) under Zygaena alluaudi alluaudi. RNAcentral's name for it is "transfer RNA-Leu (CUN)". Lineage: Eukaryota; Metazoa; Arthropoda; Insecta; Lepidoptera; Zygaenidae. The record is from RNAcentral.